This 456-nucleotide ribosomal RNA is filed under the name Campylobacter gracilis. Its description in RNAcentral is "bacterial SSU rRNA". It matches the Rfam family "Bacterial small subunit ribosomal RNA", at positions 29 to 499 of the family's 1533-position model. Lineage: Bacteria; Pseudomonadati; Campylobacterota; Epsilonproteobacteria; Campylobacterales; Campylobacteraceae. The record is from RNAcentral.
AGUGAACGCUGGCGGCGUGCCUAAUACAUGCAAGUCGAACGGAAUUUAAGAGAGCUUGCUCUUUUGAAUUUAGUGGCGCACGGGUGAGUAAUAUAUAGCUAAUCUGCCCCUUGCUGGAGGACGACAGUUAGAAAUGACUGCUAAUACUCCAUACUCCUUUUUACCAUAAGAUAAAUCGGGAAAGAAUUUCGGCAAGGGAUGAGACUAUAUCGUAUCAGCUAGUCGGUGGGGUAACGGCCUACCGAGGCUAUGACGCGUAACUGGUCUGAGAGGAUGAUCAGUCACAUUGGAACUGAGACACGGUCCAAACUCCUACGGGAGGCAGCAGUAGGGAAUAUUGCGCAAUGGGGGAAACCCUGACGCAGCAACGCCGCGUGGAGGAUGACACUUUUCGGAGCGUAAACUCCUUUUGUUAGGGAAGAAUAAUGACGGUACCUAACGAAUAAGCACCGGUAA